RNAcentral lists this long non-coding RNA (203 nucleotides) under Lathyrus oleraceus (garden pea). Its description in RNAcentral is "Pisum sativum (pea) long non-coding RNA (PSAT_LNC030832)". Lineage: Eukaryota; Viridiplantae; Streptophyta; Magnoliopsida; Fabales; Fabaceae. The record is from RNAcentral.
ACAAUCAAACCAAUACCAAAAUAGCUCAAUAAAUUCCCAGAAAAUUCAAGCUUAAACAGAACACAUUCAAUGAGCAGCACACCAAAUUUCAUGCUAUUUGGACCAGAGGAAGUAUGGAAAUUAAAUUCAUGAAGUCAUAGUAUGCAAGAACAAACUCAAACAAGGCCACAAAUCAUGUAUCAACUUUAGGCAAGUGUAAAACA